GACGAACGCUGGCGGCGUGCUUAACACAUGCAAGUGGAGCGACGAACCAGGCUUCGGCCUGGGGCAGAGCCGCGAACGGGUGAGUAACACGUGGGUAACCUGCCCUGAUGAUCGGGACAACCCGGGGAAACCCGGGCUAAUACCGAAUGUGCCCGCGAGCCGCAAGGCUUGCGAGGAAAGGAAGCUUCGGCCUCCGCAUCGGGGAUGGGCCCGCGGCCCAUUAGCUUGUUGGUGGGGUAACGGCCUACCAAGGCAGCAAUGGGUAGCUGGUCUGAGAGGACGAUCAGCCACACUGGGACUGAGACACGGCCCAGACUCCUACGGGAGGCAGCAGUGGGGAAUAUUGGACAAUGGGCGCAAGCCUGAUCCAGCCAUGCCGCGUGAGUGAUGAAGGCCUUAGGGUUGUAAAGCUCUUUUGCCGGGG
RNAcentral lists this ribosomal RNA (424 nucleotides) under uncultured bacterium. RNAcentral's name for it is "bacterial SSU rRNA". It matches the Rfam family "Bacterial small subunit ribosomal RNA", at positions 28 to 444 of the family's 1533-position model. The record is from RNAcentral.